GCCUCUAAGGUGACUGCCGGUGACAAACCGGAGGAAGGUGGGGAUGACGUCAAAUCAUCAUGCCCCUUAUGACCUGGGCUACACACGUGCUACAAUGGAUGGUACAAAGGGCUGCAAGACCGCGAGGUCAAGCCAAUCCCAUAAAACCAUUCUCAGUUCGGAUUGUAGGCUGCAACUCGCCUACAUGAAGCUGGAAUCGCUAGUAAUCGCGGAUCAGCAUGCCGCGGUGAAUACGUUCCCGGGCCUUGUACACACCGCCCGUCACACCACGAGAGUUUGUAACACCCGAAGUCGGUGGGGUAACCUUUAUGGAGCCAGCCGCCUAAGGUGGGACAGAUGAUUGGGGUGAAGUC
RNAcentral lists this ribosomal RNA (353 nucleotides) under Bacillus sp. A.H4. RNAcentral's name for it is "bacterial SSU rRNA". It matches the Rfam family "Bacterial small subunit ribosomal RNA", at positions 1136 to 1487 of the family's 1533-position model. The record is from RNAcentral. Lineage: Bacteria; Bacillati; Bacillota; Bacilli; Caryophanales; Bacillaceae.